GUUGUGUGUGUGUGCUUUGUGUGUACAUGCAAUCGGCCAGCAAAGGUGAAAAGAAGAAGAAGAAGAAGAAAUGUGAUCAAACUCCAAAUUGGAACUAGAUUCCUUCCAUAAUCCAUCUUUUCAUCGUCUCUUGGUGAUUUAAAAUCCAAACUUCAACAUCUGGUAAGUUUUUCAAAACCCUAAGGAGGUUUCUUUGAUGUGGGAGACGAUUUGGGUUGUAGUAGUUUUGUAGUAUACUUUGUUUAUAUUGAUGAGUUAUAGUAUAAAUUUGAGAUUAAAUUGGUUCAAAACUGAUAUGAUCGAAAUCAUUGUCGUGUGUUUGACCCGACAAUGCGUUGCUAGAUUAAAGCUUAGUAUGUUUAAAAUACCGGUUUAAAGGAUGAUUAUAUGACAAAAUAUUAUGCUAAUGUGACGUUUCAGAUGGUUUGGCAUACUGAUAUGAUCGAAAUCAUUGUCGUUGUGUGUUUGACCUGACAAUGUGUUGCUAGAUUGAAGCUUAGUAUGUUUAAAAUACCGGUUUAAAGGAUGAUUAUAUGACAAAAUAUUAUGCUAAUGUGAUGUUUCAGAUGGUUUGGCAUACUAUGACAAAAUAUUAUGCUAAUGUGACGUUUCAGAUGGUUUGGCAUACUAGAAUUCGAUUGUAGAUUAUAAACCAGUCGAUGGGACUGCUGAACACAUAAUGUAAGUUUCUUGACCAUUCCUCUCGUUAAGAACAAUUACAUGGUUAUGCUAUUUACUAACUAAUUUGUUUGAUCAUACCGGGAAUGAAUGAGUUUUUGUAGUACAACCUUGUUAUCUUGGAUUGUAUACUUAGAUUUGUUAUUUCAAUCUGCAGUGCAACCUAACAAUGACGAGGUAACGUGACUUCAAACCUGGUGUCUAUUCUUACCUAUGGAAGUAUUACAUAUGACGAGAUUAAAUUGGAUUGUUAAAGUAAACACCUUGAUGGUUGAUCUACUAUGAAUUCUUGGAUAGAAAGACGAAGGCAACCUUAGUAAACUAGCACUGGUGUUUAUCUAGUCAACUUUCAUUGAAGUUUGUUUGUGCCAACUUCUAUAAACCCCACCCACAAUGAUUUUUGUAUAUAUAGUUAAACAUGUAAAUGAUCUAGGUUUUGCUUCCGCUGAAGUAGUUUAAUGUGUUUACACUGGGACUUUUAUGCAAAUACAAGUUUAUUA
This 1178-nucleotide long non-coding RNA is filed under the name Helianthus annuus (common sunflower). RNAcentral describes it as "hypothetical non coding rna". The record is from RNAcentral. Lineage: Eukaryota; Viridiplantae; Streptophyta; Magnoliopsida; Asterales; Asteraceae.